RNAcentral lists this ribosomal RNA (198 nucleotides) under uncultured prokaryote. RNAcentral describes it as "partial 16S ribosomal RNA". It matches the Rfam family "Bacterial small subunit ribosomal RNA", at positions 524 to 721 of the family's 1533-position model. The record is from RNAcentral.
GACGUAGGAUGCAAGCGUUGUCCGGAUUUAUUGGGCGUAAAGAGUUCGUAGGUGGUUCGUUAAGUCUGAUGUUAAAGAUCGAGGCUCAACCUCGGGAGUGCAUUGGAUACUGGCGGACUGGAGUGUGGUAGAGGCUAGUGGAAUUCCCAGUGUAGCGGUGAAAUGCGUAGAUAUUGGGAAGAACACCGGUGGCGUAGG